Long non-coding RNA from Spinacia oleracea (spinach), 1146 nucleotides. RefSeq lists it as uncharacterized. NCBI's taxonomy places the organism in Eukaryota, Viridiplantae, Streptophyta, Magnoliopsida, Caryophyllales, Amaranthaceae. The record is from RefSeq and is a predicted model, not a curated record. The transcript is spliced from 5 exons.
AUGAUUUCCUCUCUCCUUCCUGCAGUUAUGCUCUCAACCUCUCACCAUAUGUACUAGAUUCGCAGCAACCUGAAGAUUCAUGAUAUCUGGUCGAGGAUUGGAUUCUCUAGCAAGAUGUAGAUGGUAGGCUCAGUAUGUUGUUGAAAUGGCUGCGAAUACUCAGUUGGUUUUCCUGGAAAAAUAUUCAUUCAAUUGAGAAACAAACACUGUGUUCUUCUUCAAUGGGAAGGUGGAAAAUCGGACUCCAUAUCUCUUCAAGGAGAUACAGACUUGGAUCAUGAAGAGGUUUCAUGCCAAUCCAAGCACAAACAUUGAACUGAAAUAUCUGUCAGAGCUGUCUAUUGGGGAAUCAGAACUUUCAUCCCUUUUCUUAGGAAUCAGAACUUCAGUUAAGGUUAUUUAUCUAUCAGGAAACCUUUCUUUCUGAAACUUUCAUUAAUUUAAUCUUUGAACUUGCAGAGUGAUCAUCUAAACCUGGUCAUCGUACACUUGAAGGAUUUGAGCUCAUUGUGUUCUGUACUUUAAGGAAACUGUUAGAGAACUUCAUCCAAGUUUGUCGUAGUCUGAAGAAUCACAUAGCAUAAUUACUGAUACACUUAAGCAGCUGGAGUCUGCUGUAUUCAGAUUGCGAGAGCUUAAGCUUCAGAGAUGCAGAAGACCCAGGAGCAACAAAAUCGCGCUAAAACUAGCAUACUGGAACCUCUUUUCCACACAACUUCAACAAUGUCAGCAGCAGUGGAGCAAACUCCGCAACCCUUCAUUCUUCGCCUUCAACAAUCCCUCGUCUCCUGCUCCAAGGCAGUUGAAGCUGGUGAUUUUCGUCAAUCGGAAUAAGUAAUUUCUGGGAUUGUUGAGUUUCUCAGCUCAAUUUAUGAUGCUGCUGUUUCAGAUUUUGACGAUAAAGAAACCCAGAACAAUUCAAUCGUUGUUCUCUCUCAUAUUCACUCUUUCCUUUGAAACCCUUCUCUUGAUCAGGUAUUUAUCUCACUAUAUUCUCUCUAGUUUGGGGUUUUUAGGGUUGUUUGUGAAUUUGUGUGAAUAGGGUUUUGUGUAAUUUUGAAGAUUGAAGCACCCAAUUUUGUUGUGGGUUUGUUUUUUGGAUUUUGAUGGGUUUGGUCAAUGGUGCUAAAGAAAACAACCAUUUUA